GGUAUGGGAUGAGCUUGCGUCCGAUUAGCUAGUUGGCGGGGCAACGGCCCACCAAGGCGACGAUCGGUAGCCGGCCUGAGAGGGUGAUCGGCCACAUUGGGACUGAGAUACGGCCCAGACUCCUACGGGAGGCAGCAGUAGGGAAUAUUGCACAAUGGGGGGAACCCUGAUGCAGCAACGCCACGUGUGGGAAGAAGCAUUUCGGUGUGUAAACCACUGUCAUGAGGGAAUAAGGCCCGCCUUCGGACGGGAUUGAAUGUACCUUGAGAGGAAGCACCGGCAAACUUCGUGCCAGCAGCCGCGGUAAUACGAGGGGUGCAAGCGUUGUUCGGAAUUACUGGGCGUAAAGGGAGCGUAGGCGGAGAUUCAAACGGAUUGUACAAUCCCGGGGCCCAACCCCGGCUCUGCAGUCCGAACUGGAUCUCUUGGAUAGUUCAGGGGCAGGC
Molecule: ribosomal RNA, 446 nt
Filed under: uncultured bacterium
Lineage: Bacteria
Description: bacterial SSU rRNA
Rfam family: Bacterial small subunit ribosomal RNA
Source: RNAcentral